UACACAUGCAAGUCGAACGGUAGAGGCCCNUCGGGGUACACGAGUGGCGAACGGGUGAGUAANACNUGGGUGAUCUGCCCUGCACUUCGGGAUAAGCCCGGGAAACUGGGUCUAAUACCGGAUAGUACUGCGCGGUGCAUGCCGUGUGGUGGAAAGAUUUAUCGGUGCAGGAUGGGCCCGCGGCCUAUCAGCUUGUUGGUGGGGUAAUGGCCUACCAAGGCGACGACGGGUAGCCGGCCUGAGAGGGCGACCGGCCACACUGGGACUGAGACACGGCCCAGACUCCUACGGGAGGCAGCAGUGGGGAAUAUUGCACAAUGGGCGCAAGCCUGAUGCAGCGACGCCGCGUGAGGGAUGACGGCCUUCGGGUUGUAAACCUCUUUCAGCAGGGACGAAGCGCAAGUGACGGUACCUGCAGAAGAAGCACCGGCCAACUACGUGCCAGCAGCCGCGGUAAUACGUAGGGUGCAAGCGUUGUCCGGAAUUACUGGGCGUAAAGAGCUCGUAGGCGGUUUGUCGCGUCGUCUGUGAAAACCAGCAGCUCAACUGUUGGCUUGCAGGCGAUACGGGCAGACUUGAGUAUUUCAGGGGAGACUGGAAUUCCUGGUGUAGCGGUGAAAUGCGCAGAUAUCAGGAGGAACACCGGUGGCGAAGGCGGGUCUCUGGGAAAUAACUGACGCUGAGGAGCGAAAGCGUGGGUAGCGAACAGGAUUAGAUACCCUGGUAGUCCACGCCGUAAACGGUGGGC
RNAcentral lists this ribosomal RNA (748 nucleotides) under bacterium 13_xplvp186. RNAcentral's name for it is "bacterial SSU rRNA". It matches the Rfam family "Bacterial small subunit ribosomal RNA", at positions 50 to 814 of the family's 1533-position model. RNAcentral also lists the same sequence under 1 other name. The record is from RNAcentral.